UACGUAGGGUGCAAGCGUUGUCCGGAAUUAUUGGGCGUAAAGAGCUCGUAGGCGGUUCGUCACGUCGGCUGUGAAAUCCCGAGGCUCAACCCCGUGCCUGCUUCCGAUACGGGCAGACUAGAGGUAUGCAGGGGAGAACGGAAUUCCUGGUGUAGCGGUGAAAUGCGCAGAUAUCAGGAGGAACACCGGUGGCGAAGGCGGUUCUCUGGGCCUGUACUGACGCUGAGGAGCGAAAGCGUGGGGAGCGAACAGG
This 253-nucleotide ribosomal RNA is filed under the name uncultured bacterium. Its description in RNAcentral is "partial 16S ribosomal RNA". It matches the Rfam family "Bacterial small subunit ribosomal RNA", at positions 524 to 776 of the family's 1533-position model. The record is from RNAcentral.